Eimeria necatrix is the source of this 77-nucleotide non-coding RNA. NCBI's taxonomy places the organism in Eukaryota, Apicomplexa, Conoidasida, Eucoccidiorida, Eimeriidae. The record is from Rfam.
GUACCUGUGGCUGAGUGGUCAAAAGCGGUGGGCUCAUAAUCCAUUUUUUUUCAAAAGUUCAAAUCUUUUCAGGUAUA